This 425-nucleotide ribosomal RNA is filed under the name uncultured bacterium. RNAcentral describes it as "partial 16S ribosomal RNA". It matches the Rfam family "Bacterial small subunit ribosomal RNA", at positions 354 to 796 of the family's 1533-position model. The record is from RNAcentral.
GUGGGGAAUCUUGCGCAAUGGGCGAAAGCCUGACGCAGCCAUGCCGCGUGAAUGAUGAAGGUCUUAGGAUUGUAAAAUUCUUUCACCGGGGACGAUAAUGACGGUACCCGGAGAAGAAGCCCCGGCUAACUUCGUGCCAGCAGCCGCGGUAAUACGAAGGGGGCUAGCGUUGCUCGGAAUUACUGGGCGUAAAGGGCGCGUAGGCGGACAGUUUAGUCAGAGGUGAAAGCACAGGGCUCAACCUUGGAAUUGCCUUUGAUACUGGCUGUCUUGAGUACGGGAGAGGUGAGUGGAACUCCGAGUGUAGAGGUGAAAUUCGUAGAUAUUCGGAAGAACACCAGUGGCGAAGGCGACUCACUGGCCCGUUACUGACGCUGAGGCGCGAAAGCGUGGGGAGCAAACAGGAUUAGAAACCCCUGUAGUCC